AAACUACCCGCUGAACUUAGCAUAUCUAUAAGCGGAGAAAAGAAAGCGAACAGGGAUUGCCCUAGUAACGGCGAGUGAAGCGGCAACAGCUCAAAUUUGAAAUCUGGCCCUUUUAGGGUCUCGAGUUGUAAUUUGCAGAGGGCGCUUUGGCAUUGGCAGCGGUCCAAGUUCCUUGGACCAGGACGUCACAGAGGGUGAGAAUCCCGUACGUGGUCGCUAGCCUUUGCUGUGUAAAGCCCCUUCGACGAGUCGAGUUGUUUGGGAAUGCAGCUCUAAAUGGGAGGUAAAUUUCUUCUAAAGCUAAAUAUUGGCCAGAGACCGAUAGCGCACAAGUAGAGUGAUCGAAAGAUGAAAAGCACUUUGGAAAGAGAGUCAAAUAGCACGUGAAAUUGUUGAAAGGGAAGCGCUUGCAGCCAGACUUGCCUGUAGUUGCUUAUUUGGGCUUUUGCCUAGUGCACUCUUUUGCGGGCAGGCCAGCAUCAGUUUGGGCGGUUGGAUAAAGGUCUCUGUCAUGUACCUCCUUUCGGGGAGGACUUAUAGGGGAGGCGACAUGCAACCAGCCUGGACUGAGGUCCGCGCAUCUGCUAGGAUGCUGGCGUAAUGGCUGUAAGCGGCCCGUCUUGAAACACGGACCAAGGAGUCUAACAUCUAUGCGAGUGUUUGGGUGUCAAGCCCAGACGCGUAAUGAAAGUGAACGGAGGUAGGAACCCUUUGGGUGCACUAUCGACCGAUCCUGAUGUCUUCGGAAGGAUUUGAGUAAGAGCAUGGCUGUUGGGACCCGAAAGAUGGUGAACUAUUCCCGGAUAGGGUGAUGCCAGAGGAAACUAUGGUGGAGGCUCGCACCGGUUCUGUCGUGCCAAUCGAUCCUCCAAUAUACGCAUGGGGCGAAAGACUACACAUCUUCUCCCCGGU
RNAcentral lists this ribosomal RNA (912 nucleotides) under Mauginiella scaettae. RNAcentral's name for it is "partial large subunit ribosomal RNA". It matches the Rfam family "Eukaryotic large subunit ribosomal RNA", at positions 18 to 955 of the family's 3401-position model. Lineage: Eukaryota; Fungi; Ascomycota. The record is from RNAcentral.